Molecule: long non-coding RNA, 1602 nt
Filed under: Lynx pardinus (Iberian lynx)
Lineage: Eukaryota; Metazoa; Chordata; Mammalia; Carnivora; Felidae
Source: RNAcentral
UCCUAAGUCUCUAACCUGCCAGCCUCCCUUAUCAGAUUUUGGACUCUGUAAGUGUCCAAAAUUGUGUAAGCUAAUGCUUUAAAAUAAAUCUCUUUAUAUUGCAUGCACAUCCAUCCCGUUGGCUCUGUUUCUCUGGAGAAUUUUAACAAAUACAGUCACACACUAUGCUGCUGCUACUACUACUAGUGGUAAAGCCAGGUUUCAGCCCCAGGCAGCCUGGUUCCCCAGGUGGAGGAUAAGAGAUUCUAGAAUGCCAGAGGCUGGACAAGCAUUCCCUCUAUGAAGUCAGAGUUAUCUGUGAACAUAGACUCAGAAAUAGAAUUUAUUCUUACUGGUUUUCUCUGUAUGUCUACACUGAUGAUAUAACUGGGCACAAUAAACUCAUGAAACAUGAAGCUCUAAGUAGUGACACUGGAGAACCUAACAACAUACACAUUUGACUACAGAAAAUUAUAUGUUUGGGGCACAUCCCUCAUCUUUGAGAGUUGAUUUUAGGAAGUAACUGCCAUCUUGCAAAAAGUCCCUUAUUGACAGAAAAACAAAAAAAUUUGGCAAAAGAGAGUCUGACCCACCGUGGCAGUCUUUUUUUUUUUUUUUUUUUUUUUUUCUUCUUAGUUGUUAACAUUAUUCUCUGCUCAGUAGACACUGUCGUGGAAGAUUCUUGGAACACUUGGUGGCACUUGAAUUUAAAACUGUCACUAUAAAAUUAUAUCCUAUUUUAUUUAAAUUUAAUUAACUAAUAGUAGGUCCUUACAGUUUCUUUGUAAUGUGUGCAUUUAUGCCAAUACGUCAUCUUCUUUUCAAGACCCAAAUUUAAUUCUUGACCCUUAGAUAAAGGUGACCCUGGAGACAUGGCUUCAAACUGGCCCAAGAAAGGACAUCAUUCAUCAAUCAGUCAUCAGCACUAUCCAACUAUCUGGUAAGGAGAGAAAAAGCCAAAGAUGUCCUCCAUAUUCUUUUCACUAGAAAUUAGUUUUAGAUCUCUAUGGAGAAGUCAACAAAGAUGAUAGAGACUCAAGCGAAAUCACUACCUUCAAAUGUGCUCAGUAUUAAGGGCUGUGAGGUUUCACUGGUAUGGGUCAGCCAUCUCCAGUAGAGAUGUCUGUAGGAGCGCCUGAAGGCUGAUAGUUCAGGAAAGACAGGGUGCUUCUGAAUGAAGGAAACACCUAGCUAAGGCUCAAGAUCAUUGGACUCUCUUCUGGUUGUCAUACAUGCGUCAAGUGUUGUCUAUAACUCCCCUGACCCAAACUAUUAACUCUGAAAGUUAUGUAACCACGGAGGAUGAGGAGGAAGCGUGGGAUGUUCUGUUUAAGGCAGAGGCUGAGCCAUUGUGGCCGGAUUCAAUCAGUGCAAAAGAGGGCUUUGGAACACUUGGUUAGUUUCCUUCCUUCCAAAUGUCUAGACAUUCAAAAGGGUGUGCACACUUGCCUCUGACUAUUCCUGUUAAAGGCUUCUCUUCACAUAAAAUGUCACUGGUUAUAUGGGUUUGUUUAUAUUACCUUUGAACUUGAUUUGUAUUAUUCUAUCUUUGUCAACAUCCAUUCCCACUUUCUAUAAGCUUUAAACUAUCCCAGAUGCUGAGCAAAUGUAAAUUCUUUGGAA